GUUCUCGUGGCUCAACUGGAUAGAGCAAUCGCCUCCUAAGCGAUAGGUUGUGGGUUCAAGUCCCACCGGGAACA
Molecule: transfer RNA, 74 nt
Filed under: Pediococcus claussenii
Lineage: Bacteria; Bacillati; Bacillota; Bacilli; Lactobacillales; Lactobacillaceae
Also listed under: 1 other name
Description: tRNA-Arg
Rfam family: tRNA
About the family: Transfer RNA (tRNA) molecules are approximately 80 nucleotides in length.
Source: RNAcentral